GGUUGUGGCUCAGUGGUAGAGCGCUUGCCUGGCAUGCAUGAGUGCUGGGUUCAAUUCCCAGCACCA
This 66-nucleotide transfer RNA is filed under the name Ictidomys tridecemlineatus (thirteen-lined ground squirrel). Its description in RNAcentral is "Spermophilus tridecemlineatus (thirteen-lined ground squirrel) tRNA". It matches the Rfam family "tRNA". From Rfam's summary of the family: Transfer RNA (tRNA) molecules are approximately 80 nucleotides in length. The record is from Rfam by way of RNAcentral. Lineage: Eukaryota; Metazoa; Chordata; Mammalia; Rodentia; Sciuridae.